GGGAGAGCAAGUUCCCAAUGCGGAUGAUGAUGACAUUCUUAAUAUUCAUGGAUGGUAGACACUAAUUGGAGAGGGAGAGCGAGAGCGCGCAAUACCGUGGAAAUUCUGCAAGUAAUGUCUUUGUUCAUUUAGAAUUUGGGAAAGUAGACGUGGGUAACAAUAAGAUGGGACAUAGUUGUGGGAGGUUGGGACUUGCAAUACAGGGCUGAGUUUAUGCUGACUGAAGAAAGAAAGGAGCGACACCAUUGUGAGAAUUGUUCAUGCAUCAGUUGGAGUUUGCCUAUUAGAUAUUUGAGGAUGUCAUCGAGCUUCUCAUGUCUGAAGUAUUUGGUGUAGAGCAAUGUUAUUUAUAUUCAAUUUUGUACUAUAUAAUAUAAUUUGAAUUCAAUAAAAUCUAUUUUUUUUAUUUAGUUAU
Molecule: long non-coding RNA, 415 nt
Organism: Malania oleifera
Lineage: Eukaryota; Viridiplantae; Streptophyta; Magnoliopsida; Santalales; Ximeniaceae
Exons: 2
Source: RefSeq, a predicted model, not a curated record